Molecule: ribosomal RNA, 440 nt
Filed under: uncultured bacterium
Lineage: Bacteria
Description: bacterial SSU rRNA
Rfam family: Bacterial small subunit ribosomal RNA
Source: RNAcentral
AUACGGGAGGCAGCAGUGAGGAAUAUUGCACAAUGGGCGCAAGCCUGAUGCAGCAACGCCGCGUGAGGGACGAAGGCCUUCGGGUCGUAAACCUCUUUUCUGGGGGACGAGACAAGGACGGUACCUCAGGAAUAAGUCUCGGCUAACUACGUGCCAGCAGCCGCGGUAAAACGUAGGAGGCGAGCGUUAUCCGGAUUUACUGGGCGUAAAGCGCGCGCAGGCGGCUUGGUAAGUUGGACGUGAAAGCUCCUGGCUUAACUGGGAGAGGCCGUUCGAAACUGCCAGGCUUGAGGUUGGGAGAGGGGUGCGGAAUUCCCGGUGUAGUGGUGGAAUGCGUAGAUAUCGGGAGGAACACCAGUGGCGAAGGCGGCACCCUGGCCCACACCUGACGCUGAGGUGCGAAAGCGUGGGGAGUAAACAGGAUUAGAUACCCUGGUAGG